Molecule: ribosomal RNA, 270 nt
Filed under: uncultured bacterium
Lineage: Bacteria
Description: partial 16S ribosomal RNA
Rfam family: Bacterial small subunit ribosomal RNA
Source: RNAcentral
AUUGAACGCUGGCGGCAUGCCUUACACAUGCAAGUCGAACGCGAAAGGGGGCAACCCCGAGUAGAGUGGCGAACGGGUGAGCAAUACAUCGGAACAUUUCCUGUAGCGGGGGACAACCUCGAGAAAUCGAGGCUAAUACCGCAUACGAUCUACGGAUGAAAGUGGGGGACCGCAAGGCCCCACACUAUAGGAGUGGCCGAUGCCGGAUUAGCUAGUUGGUGGGGUAACGGCCUACCAAGGCGACGAUCCGUAGCUGGUCUGAGAGGACGA